Molecule: ribosomal RNA, 102 nt
Filed under: Dendriscocaulon sp. Takahashi 2350
Lineage: Eukaryota; Fungi; Ascomycota; Lecanoromycetes; Peltigerales; Lobariaceae
Also listed under: 2 other names
Description: partial 28S rRNA
Rfam family: Eukaryotic large subunit ribosomal RNA
Source: RNAcentral
UUGACCUCGGAUCAGGUAGGGAUACCCGCUGAACUUAAGCAUAUCAAUAAGCGGAGGAAAAGAAACCAACAGGGAUUGCCUCAGUAACGGCGAGUGAAGCGG